This 467-nucleotide ribosomal RNA is filed under the name uncultured bacterium. RNAcentral's name for it is "partial 16S ribosomal RNA". It matches the Rfam family "Bacterial small subunit ribosomal RNA", at positions 28 to 506 of the family's 1533-position model. The record is from RNAcentral.
GACGAACGCUGGCGGCGUGCUUAACACAUGCAAGUCGAACGGAAAGGCCCUGCUUUUGUGGGGUGCUCGAGUGGCGAACGGGUGAGUAACACGUGAGUAACCUGCCCUUGACUUUGGGAUAACUUCAGGAAACUGGGGCUAAUACCGGAUAGGAGCUCCUGCUGCAUGGUGGGGGUUGGAAAGUUUCGGCGGUUGGGGAUGGACUCGCGGCUUAUCAGCUUGUUGGUGGGGUAGUGGCUUACCAAGGCUUUGACGGGUAGCCGGCCUGAGAGGGUGACCGGGACAAUUGGGGAAGGGAGAACGGCCAGAGACUCCCGGGGGGAGCAGGGGGGGGAAAUUUUGCAAAGGGGGGGGAAGCUUGACGGAACACCCCCGUGGGGGAGAGGGGCCUCUGGGGGUUAAACACCUUUCGCCGGUGAAGAAAGGGGUGGGAGAGGAAAGGGGGAAAAAGCACCGCGUAACUCAGC